CUGGUUGAUCCUGCCAGUAGGCAUAAGCUUGUCCUGGAGAUUAAGCCAUGCAUGUGUAAGAAUAAGUGUUUGAACGGCAAAUCUGCGGACGGCUUAGUUUACAGUUGUCGAUUUCCUGGUUCAGCGAGUUUACAUGGAUAACCGCGGCAAUUCUACGGCUAAUACAUGCUAUAAACCUGACUGGCUUCCGGGCCGGAACGGUUGCAUUUGGGACCAGAAAACCGACCCAAAAUAACUUUGGAAUUAUGGUGAACCGACCCAAUAUAGCCGAUCGAUCCGCCUUGUGCGGUUGACAGGAUCAAAAAGCUUCUGUCCUAUCAACUUUCGACGGAAGUUAAGGGGGCAGCCGUGGUUGCUACAGGGACAGAGAAUUAGGGUUCGGUGCUGGAGAGUUAGCCUGAGAAAAUCGCUAACACUUCUAAGGAAGGCAGCAGGCGCGCAACGUUCCCCAUGGGAAUACCCUGAGGACGUUAUGGGGACGUAUCAAUGCCGGGCCAGAAAAAGCUCGGUAAUUGGAAUGGGGGCAAUUUAAAUCACUCACCGAGUAACAAUUGGAGGGCAAGUCUGGU
This 569-nucleotide ribosomal RNA is filed under the name uncultured eukaryote. RNAcentral's name for it is "bacterial SSU rRNA". It matches the Rfam family "Eukaryotic small subunit ribosomal RNA", at positions 4 to 565 of the family's 1831-position model. The record is from RNAcentral.